ACUCUAUAACUAUAUAUAUAACCAACAAAACAUACCUAAAACAUAAUCAUUAUUUACCAUUUAAAACUGUACCUAAAUAACCAACCAAUCAAUCAUAGAACAUAUUCAUUAUUUGCCAUCAUAAACCACACCUAAAUAACCAAUACAUAAUCAAUAUAUAUAUUCGUCAUAUAGCCUAUAGGAACAUACACCAUGAGUAAAAAAAAAUACAUCCAUCAUUUACCUCAUUACUCAAGCCGAAUUAUAUGACCAUCCACACAAGAUAUACCAUAUAACAUACUUCCAAAAUAACCUAAUUACAUGGUCGAUUUAUACAUCAUACUUAACAUUACUUUCAAGCCAUUUCGCAUGGCUAUAUAUAUACCAUUCAAAACAAAGCUUAUCGAAAAUAGCUUAUACAUCAUUUACAAGCCAACUCACAUGGCUAAUUUCAUAUCUCAAAACAUAUCCUAUUGACACUAACCUAUACAUGUCAUAUACCAUAUAUACACAACUCAAAAGUACCAAGUAGAUGGUUGGAUAGUGUGAAGUAGUCUCUGACGAUUCCCGAAUUUGAGCUAGCCUUGAAUUCACUAUAAAACACAGGAAAAACAAACAAGGUAAGCUACAAAUCUUAGUAAGUUCGUACUAAAUAUACUCAACAAUUCAUAAAACACAAAUCAUUAAUUUGAACAAUUUAAUGUAUAAUUCAUGAUAAUAUCAAACAUUCCAUAAGCUUAUUCAUAUACUUAUAUGCAAAGUUUUAACCUAUUCUAUUUGAAAUUCAUACUUACAUGUACAUACCUGUACAAAUUCAUAACGAAUUCAUAUAUUCGCGUAACACUAUCGAAUACUCAAUGUUUCGCACACUAAAUGCCAUCGCAUAGCCGAAGCUAUUAUAAUCCCACACACUAAGUGUCUUACAUAGCCGAAACUAUCUCUGUCUCGCACACUAAAUGCCAUAAAUAGCCGAAUUAGCUAUCUCAAAUCGCACACUAAGUGCUAAACAUAGUCGAUUAAUCGUCAAACAUGAUUGUAUUCUAUACAAUUUAUGCAAUAUCAAAGCAUUAAAAGCAUAAUUGUAACAAUGUUUAUCACGUACGAACUUACCUGGGAUGCUAAAAUGGUGAAUCGAGUCGUUUAGUCGAUAACUUCAGUUUUCCCCCGAUCUAGGUCUAAAUUUCGCUUUUCUUGAUCUAUAUAAUAUCAAAUUCAGCUUAUUCAAUCACUAAUUUAUUCAAUUUAAUCCAAAACACACAUUUGGGCACGUUUACACUUUUCCCCCAAAGUUUCACAUUUUUACAAUUUAGUCCAUAUUUCACAAAUACACAAAAUUCAUGAAAUUUAAUACCUUCCUAAGUUAGCCGAAUUUUCCUAGUGCACAUAUCAGCCCAUAUUUAUCAUUUAUUCACACAUUUAACCACAUGUUUUCACAUUUUCACAAAUAAAUCCCUAUUUGACUUUUUUUGUCAAAAAUCACUUAACAAAAUAUGAUAAUCUAUCAACAAAUAUCCAUUUUUCAUCAUCAAACAUUUAAAAGCUUAAACAUUCAUCAAUGGCACUUCAUAAAAACAUUGACAAUUUCAAAAAUUAAGGCAUGGGCUAGCUAGAAUAUAAAGCAACAAUCUCAAAAACGUAAAAAUCAUCAAAAAUCGAGCUCAAAACACUUACCAAUUAAGUCCUAAUUGACCGAACCCUAAAAUGAACUAAAUGUUUUCUUCUUCCAUUAUAUUCGGCCAAAGAAAGAUGAAAUGAAGGUUAGUUUUGGUUUUGUUUUAAUUUAAUUAAAUUUAAAUCACAAAUUACUUAAUUAACCUUAACGAAAUAACAUUAAAUAUAUAUAAUGGUUGUCCAUAAAUGUCCACUUACACAAUCAAUGGUCUAAUAUCAUCAUAAGAACCUUUGGUUUAAUUAAUCAUAGCAAUUAAACACAUUUAACAUAUAGAAUGCCACUUUUGCAUUUUACGCGAUUAAGUUCUUUUUCUCAAAUUGAGCUAUUAAACGAUAAAAUUAAAUCACGAAACUUUCACACAUAUAUAAUCACAUGCUUUAAACACCAAAAAUAAUAUUAAAAUAAUUUUUCAACCUCGAAUUUGUGGUUUCGAAACCACUGUUCCGAUUUAGCUAAAACCGGGUUGUUACAAGGGGUUAAUGUUGCAAUAUUCUCAUCCCUUUUGUUGGGUGACUUUGGCCAUUUGUUGGUCGGCCCCUCACACCUCAUUAUGGAUGGAGAUGUAUUACACGUUCGCGCUUCAUUGGAUGUUUAUCUAUUAAUGAGCAUUUUCUCAACCUUUAUCUUUUACCUUUUAUGCUUACUAUGUGUAUGUAAAAUGCUUGUGUGGAAUUUGAGUUUAAUCAUGUGUUGAAUUGUUUUAUUGGUUGAUUGAUGAAUGGGUUACUUAGCUAAGUUAUUAUCUAUGUUUUGAUUGGUUGUUUGUUCAAGUGCAUUAAAUUGCAUAUUACACUAGAAUUGAUACCUCAAGUGGAAGAUUUAGAUAGACGAGAUCGAGAGGAGACUCUAUCAUGUAAGACUUUGAUAUACUUGUGUUGAGUACUGAGACCGAGAGGAGAUUUAUAUGCUUACAUGAGACCGGGAAGAGAACCUAGUGGUAUCUUUUAGUCUAGGAUGAGACUAAGAGGAGAUCCUUAACUAAGAGUGACAAACAAUAUGAUCAUCAUAGGUGUAUUAGCUUAGUUAUAAUCCAUGACUCAUUUAACCAUCAUUUCAAUCCAUUUGCAUAUUUUCUAAUAAAAAGGUUGAUAUUUUUAUUUGUUAAUUUAAAUUUAGUUUAUAAACAAUUUGUAAUUAAAUUUGCAUUAAUAAUUUUCAACUUUAUUAGAUUAGUAAUUGUUUAACUUGUAAUUAACUUGAUAAAGCAUUUACCAAUUUGGCAAUCCUUUAGGUUUGAUCCUUGGAAUCCUCUAGUGUUCCAUUGACAUUACAAAUAUGACAAUUGACACUGUACACUUACAAUUAAAAUCGCACUUUUAAAUCGUUUUAUAAAAUUGUUUAUUUUUUUGCGUACGCGCACGUGCGGUCAAAGACUCAACUCACUUUCACGAAAAUACAAAUAACAACGAUGUUGUCUUUGUAAUGAACCAACCUAAAACAAAAGUUAGUGUUUCUUUCAGAAAAAUUGGUUGAAUUGAAAAAAAAUUAUAAAUUUUUUAAAAUUCUUUCAUUACUCAACAAAAAAAAUCAUUAAAAAAAAGGUGAUUACUUGUGGAGGGAGAAGAAUGGACGAAAUAGAUAGAAAUGAGAAUGAAUGAGGGUGAGAAUGAAAAGAAUUGUUGAUGCGUAAAAAAACUUAGGUGACGUAAUAUUAUUGAGAGGAACCAGAUUUAUAUAGUAAGAAGGAUCUACUUAAUAUUUUUUCUUGAUGAUGAGGUUGGAGUUGUUAAAAAAAAAAGAGAAAAGCGUGGAAGAAAAAAAAGUAAAAAUAAAUAAAUAAAGUGUCACAUGUUAUAAUUUAAUUGGUUCGAAAAGAAAUUUUAGUGGACCUAUCAUUGUCACGAAAUCAUAGUUUAAAUGUCUAAUUCAACCAAAAAAAAAUGAAGUACCUAACUCAAAAAAGUGAUAUAGUUUGAGGACUGAUUAUUGAAUUAAGCAUAAUUUUUUCUAGUAUGAUAUGUAUAUAUAGUGGUUUUCUGUAUCUACUUGAAAGAAAAAGAAUAUUUUUAACCUAUAGCUUUGAUAUGAGUGACUUACAACUGUUGGCGCCGUAAUAAAUCCGUUACCACACCCACGUGCCACUAUCCUCUUUGCUGUCAACCAGCAUAAAUUUACCCCUAAAAGAUGAAGUAAAAAUGAAAAUGAUAUUUACCGUUUACCCAUAUGGGUUUAUAUUUGGCACGUGUGAAACAGAACACAACUACCAGUCGGGGCGUAGAAGUUCGGUUUGUUUGAAAGUUCCGAAACAGCUCCCUUCCCAACCCCAUCUCUUAUGUCUCUGUGCAUCUACUUUCCAACUAACAUUCCAAACCUCAACUAAUUCUCAAACUUCAUUAAUUAUUUCUCUCUCUUUUUCUAUUUCCUAUUUAUCACCUUCCUUAAAUUUAUUACUCAAAAUUGGAUCAUUUAUAAACUUACCUAAUUUUUUACACCUUUUAUUUUAAUUAUCCAAUUAUGGAGAGUCAAAAAAUAUAUAUUUGGAUCACUGGAAUUAAAUUGUAUAUUUUUACGAUAAUAGAAAUGCAAUCUCAUCAUUUUAAUUUUCUAUAUCUUUAUAACUUUUAAAUAAUUCAAUCAAAUUUUAUUAUUUUUAGGGGACCAAAAUAUAAAUUUGAUAAAUUAUAAAUAAUCUAAAUUUUAAAAAAAAAUCAUUUUAAGGGACCAAACCCCUACCAACCCUUGACUCCAUUAGGACUUUUAUUAUAUAAAAGAAGUAAUUCAUCAAUAGACAUUAUUUUUGUUUUUUUCUUACCUACGAGUUUACAUUAGAUUAUUUAUAAUAAAAUGAUUCUUUGAGUUUAGUAAAAGAUUAAAAAUCCAUUUUCUUUAUAAAUCAAUAAACUGAAUUAUAAGGGUAUUUCAAAUUUUAUAUAUAAUAUUUUUUAGAAAAUGGUUUUUUUCAAAAAAAAAAAAAAGAAGAAAUACCUCUACUGGAAAUUUAAUGAUAUUUAUUUUAAAAAUAAAUAGUUGUCUCAUAAAAAAUAUUUAUAACUUUCUUUUAGUACUUGCCAUUUUUAUUUUAAAAAUAUUUUCUAUUACAUUAUUUUAAAAAUAUUUAUAACAUAUAUUCAAAUAAAAGGUAAAAAGAAAAUAAUGGGCUAAGCAGUCCUGGCGCACAAAGAGUUGUCGUGUUACACGCGCUGAGAUGAGGAAGGUGGGCCAAAGUGCUCCGUUUUGAUGAAAAAAUUAUUGAAAGUACUUUGUAUCGGAGAGUCAAAAGAAAAUGGAGACAGUUAGUUGGCGGUAUUAUCACACACUCUCUCUUACCCCGUGUAAUCCACCAAUCCCAAUCCAAAAAUAACCAACAAACAUUAAUAUGUCACUCUAUAACUAUAUAUAUAACCAACAAAACAUACCUAAAACAUAAUCAUUAUUUACCAUUUAAAACUGUACCUAAAUAACCAACCAAUCAAUCAUAGAACAUAUUCAUUAUUUGCCAUCAUAAACCACACCUAAAUAACCAAUACAUAAUCAAUAUAUAUAUUCGUCAUAUAGCCUAUAGGAACAUACACCAUGAGUAAAAAAAAAUACAUCCAUCAUUUACCUCAUUACUCAAGCCGAAUUAUAUGACCAUCCACACAAGAUAUACCAUAUAACAUACUUCCAAAAUAACCUAAUUACAUGGUCGAUUUAUACAUCAUACUUAACAUUACUUUCAAGCCAUUUCGCAUGGCUAUAUAUAUACCAUUCAAAACAAAGCUUAUCGAAAAUAGCUUAUACAUCAUUUACAAGCCAACUCACAUGGCUAAUUUCAUAUCUCAAAACAUAUCCUAUUGACACUAACCUAUACAUGUCAUAUACCAUAUAUACACAACUCAAAAGUACCAAGUAGAUGGUUGGAUAGUGUGAAGUAGUCUCUGACGAUUCCCGAAUUUGAGCUAGCCUUGAAUUCACUAUAAAACACAGGAAAAACAAACAAGGUAAGCUACAAAUCUUAGUAAGUUCGUACUAAAUAUACUCAACAAUUCAUAAAACACAAAUCAUUAAUUUGAACAAUUUAAUGUAUAAUUCAUGAUAAUAUCAAACAUUCCAUAAGCUUAUUCAUAUACUUAUAUGCAAAGUUUUAACCUAUUCUAUUUGAAAUUCAUACUUACAUGUACAUACCUGUACAAAUUCAUAACGAAUUCAUAUAUUCGCGUAACACUAUCGAAUACUCAAUGUUUCGCACACUAAAUGCCAUCGCAUAGCCGAAGCUAUUAUAAUCCCACACACUAAGUGUCUUACAUAGCCGAAACUAUCUCUGUCUCGCACACUAAAUGCCAUAAAUAGCCGAAUUAGCUAUCUCAAAUCGCACACUAAGUGCUAAACAUAGUCGAUUAAUCGUCAAACAUGAUUGUAUUCUAUACAAUUUAUGCAAUAUCAAAGCAUUAAAAGCAUAAUUGUAACAAUGUUUAUCACGUACGAACUUACCUGGGAUGCUAAAAUGGUGAAUCGAGUCGUUUAGUCGAUAACUUCAGUUUUCCCCCGAUCUAGGUCUAAAUUUCGCUUUUCUUGAUCUAUAUAAUAUCAAAUUCAGCUUAUUCAAUCACUAAUUUAUUCAAUUUAAUCCAAAACACACAUUUGGGCACGUUUACACUUUUCCCCCAAAGUUUCACAUUUUUACAAUUUAGUCCAUAUUUCACAAAUACACAAAAUUCAUGAAAUUUAAUACCUUCCUAAGUUAGCCGAAUUUUCCUAGUGCACAUAUCAGCCCAUAUUUAUCAUUUAUUCACACAUUUAACCACAUGUUUUCACAUUUUCACAAAUAAAUCCCUAUUUGACUUUUUUUGUCAAAAAUCACUUAACAAAAUAUGAUAAUCUAUCAACAAAUAUCCAUUUUUCAUCAUCAAACAUUUAAAAGCUUAAACAUUCAUCAAUGGCACUUCAUAAAAACAUUGACAAUUUCAAAAAUUAAGGCAUGGGCUAGCUAGAAUAUAAAGCAACAAUCUCAAAAACGUAAAAAUCAUCAAAAAUCGAGCUCAAAACACUUACCAAUUAAGUCCUAAUUGACCGAACCCUAAAAUGAACUAAAUGUUUUCUUCUUCCAUUAUAUUCGGCCAAAGAAAGAUGAAAUGAAGGUUAGUUUUGGUUUUGUUUUAAUUUAAUUAAAUUUAAAUCACAA
RNAcentral lists this long non-coding RNA (6752 nucleotides) under Gossypium barbadense (sea-island cotton). Its description in RNAcentral is "long non-coding RNA (GBAR_LNC015677)". The record is from RNAcentral. Lineage: Eukaryota; Viridiplantae; Streptophyta; Magnoliopsida; Malvales; Malvaceae.